Molecule: microRNA, 22 nt
Filed under: Parasteatoda tepidariorum (common house spider)
Lineage: Eukaryota; Metazoa; Arthropoda; Arachnida; Araneae; Theridiidae
Description: pte-miR-11951a-3p
Source: miRBase by way of RNAcentral
CAUGUUUUCUCCAGAGCUUAUC